UUAUGGGCGUAAGCGUGCGCAGGUGGUUGUGUAAGACUGCUGUUAAAGAGCCUAGCUUAACUAGAGAACAGCCUUGGAGACUGCAUAGCUAGAGUGCGUUCGAGGGGGAUGGAAUUCCUGGUGUAGCGGUGAAAUGCGUAGAUAUGCGGAAGAACACCGGUGGCGAAGGCGCUCUCCUGGGCCUGAACUGACACUGAUGGACGAAAGCUUGGGGAGCGAAUGGGAUUAGAUACCCCGGUAGUCCUAGCCCUAAACGAUGGAUACUGGGUGUUGCGAGGAUUUCCUCUCGCAGUGCCGGAGCCAACGCGUUAAUUAUCCCCUCUGGAGAGUACGCACACGGGUGUGAAUCUCAAAAGAUUUGAGGGGGGCCCGCACAAGCGGUGGAAUAUGUGGUUUUAUUCUAUGCCACGCGAAAAAUUUUACCCCCUUUUGAUGUGUCGCGAACCCUGAAGAUAUUUAGAGUGUGCCUUCGAGAGCGCGAACACAGGUGGUGCAUGGCUGUCGUCAGCUCGUGUCGUGAGAUGUUGGGUUAAGUCCCGCAACGAGCGCAACCCUCGUUUUUAGUUGCCAGCAUUGAGUUGGGCACUCUAGAGAGACUGUGACGUGACAAACCGGAGGUGAGGUAUGACAUGACGUCAAGUCAGCCUGCCCCUUACGUCUUGCGCUCCACAUAUACUACAAUGCUACAGAAGAGCUGGGCAGCGAGCGUGGGGGACGCUAAGCACAUCACACGAAGAGUCGGUAGCUCAGUAUCAGUAUCGCAGCGAUGUCAACUC
RNAcentral lists this ribosomal RNA (776 nucleotides) under Nostoc sp. 9n. RNAcentral describes it as "bacterial SSU rRNA". It matches the Rfam family "Bacterial small subunit ribosomal RNA", at positions 551 to 1313 of the family's 1533-position model. The record is from RNAcentral. Lineage: Bacteria; Bacillati; Cyanobacteriota; Cyanophyceae; Nostocales; Nostocaceae.